RNAcentral lists this unclassified non-coding RNA (199 nucleotides) under uncultured fungus. RNAcentral describes it as "sequence contains ITS1". Lineage: Eukaryota; Fungi. The record is from RNAcentral.
UUAACGUUUAUGAAAAAACAGUAUCAGACUGACUGCAAUAGGCAGGGGUGUAUGAAUACCUUCUCUGGCAGACCCCAGGGAAGCAACAGGUAAUAGGUAGACAGAAGAGUUAAGGUAAUACCAAAAAAGCCAACGGACCGACAGCCCGGGGCUUCCGGCUAAUAUACUAAUGAUCCUUCCGCAGGUUCACCUACAGAAA